AUGGCAAAAGUCGCAGCUUCGGAAGGAUUGACGCCGAAGGCGAUGGAGGUGGGAGGCGGAGAAAGCUGUGACAAGGAGUCGAGCGAAGGAGUUCGAUUGAAGAAAGAAUUGGGACUUACGAAUGGAGUGGCAAUCAUAGUAGGGGUAAUUGUCGGGUCAGGGAUCUUCGUGUCUCCCAAUCUCGCACUCAAACAUGCCGGGUCCAAGGGUAUGGCCCUCAUCGUGUGGGUACUAUCUGGCUUCCUGUCUAUGAUCGGUGCACUCUGCUAUGCAGAAUUAGGUACAAUGAUCCCCAAAUCUGGUGGGGAUUACGCAUACAUCGGCGAAGCAUUUGGAGCUCUCCCGUCUUUCUUGUAUUUGUGGGUAGCGCUACUGAUUCUAGUUCCCACUGGAAAUGCUAUCACGGCGCUGACAUUCGCACAGAACAUCCUCAAACCUUUGUGGCCUGAAUGCGAACCGCCCAUCGAUGCAGUAAGACUUAUUGCUGCUGUUGUCACGUGUCUUCUAACAGCAAUCAACUGUUUCAACGUAAAAUGGGUGACGCGAGUACAGGAUACUUUCACGGCAGCCAAGAUGCUUGCUCUGUUAGUUACAUUCUUUGCCAGUCUUUGGUACUUAUUCUCAGGCCACACAGAGAAUCUUCAAUAUAUGAUGAAAGGAACAAACAUCAACCCUGGUAAUGUCGCUAUAGCAUUCUACACCGGCCUUUUCUCAUACUCGGGGUGGAAUUAUCUUAACUUUGUUACAGAAGAAUUGAAAGAACCGUAUAGAAACCUGCCACGAGCGAUUUGCAUAUCCAUGCCAGUGGUAACACUCGUAUAUACUCUGACGAAUGUAGCGUACUUCGCGGUACUGACCAAUGAUGAGAUCCUGUCCACCGAAGCUGUCGCCGUUACCUUCAGCAAGAAAAUCCUCGGUGUCAUGUCAUGGAUUAUGCCAUUGUUCGUCGCUUUAUGUACCUUCGGGUCUUUGAAUGGAGCUAUAUACGCCUCGUCUAGGCUUUUUUUCGUGGGGGCUAGAAACGGCCAUUUGCCCUUGGCUAUAUCUAUGAUCGACAUUCGUAGACUUACGCCUGUGCCUUCACUCAUAUUUAUGUGUUUGGUAACGCUGGUGCUCCUGUUAUCUCCGAAUAUAGAGUCGUUAAUAGUCUAUGUGACAGCUGUAGAAGCUAUGUUCACUCUGAGCUCAGUAUCUGGCCUUUUAUGGAUGCGCUACAAGCGCCCAAAAGCCUCUCGCCCUAUAAAAGUUAAUUUGGCAUUGCCACUAACAUUUCUUGUCAUUUGCACGUUCCUUGUACUCUUCUCCUGCUUCAUAAAUCCCGUAGAAGUCGGCAUCGGAAUUGCAUUUAUUGCUUUCGGUGUUCCAGUGUACUGCGUCUUUAUAAAGUGGCAAAAUAAACCUAAAUUGAUGCAAAUCCUAUGCAACUCCUUUAAUCUUUUCUGUUCGAAAAUGUUUCUUAGCCUCCCUGAGGACUCUAAAGAUUUAUGAUCACGUUUUAUUCCAUUUAUUACAUUAUUUUUGACCUAUUUAUUUAUUACUGAGCGCUGUGUUAAGCAGUUUAGUUUAAAAUAAUUAUAAGACAACAAUAUUGAUUCCUAAACUCAUAGUUUUAAGGUAUAAUAAGUUUGGAAAUAUAAUAAAUUUCGUAUAACACUUUAAGUGUAAAAUAAUUCUGUUAAUCUGCUGACUCAACCUGUAGCUCCGUUGGUAGAGCAUCGCUCCAGGUUUGGCAUCGUCACAGGUUCGAGUCCUGUCAGAUCAAGGAAGUUUCUUUGUGUUCGAUCUUUGUAUUAUUGAUAAUUAUAAUUCUUCUUAUUUGAUUUUAAAAUCGGGACUUAAUCAUGUAUAAAUAAACAUAUAUU
This is an RNA transcript of Hyposmocoma kahamanoa, 1862 nucleotides long. It is a transcript of the gene named large neutral amino acids transporter small subunit 1, with no coding region annotated. NCBI's taxonomy places the organism in Eukaryota, Metazoa, Arthropoda, Insecta, Lepidoptera, Cosmopterigidae. The transcript is spliced from 6 exons. The record is from RefSeq and is a predicted model, not a curated record.